RNAcentral lists this ribosomal RNA (373 nucleotides) under uncultured eukaryote. RNAcentral describes it as "SSU rRNA". It matches the Rfam family "Eukaryotic small subunit ribosomal RNA", at positions 587 to 969 of the family's 1831-position model. The record is from RNAcentral.
AUCUCCAAUCGCGUAUAUUAAAGUUGUUGCGGUUAAAACGCUCGUCGUUGUACUUCUGUUGAGAAUAACCCGUCUGCCUUCUGGGUAUGUAUGUGGUCUAUUCUUGGCAUACUCUUGGUAUCUUGUCUGCACUUGACUGUGUGGGUAAUACUCCAGGACUUUUACUUUGAGGAAAUUAGAGUGUUUCACGCAGGCUACGCUUGAAUACAUUAGCAUGGAAUAAUGAUAAAGAACCUAUGUGCAACUUGUUGGGUUGUGCGUGUGGGUGUUGUUCAAUAGGAACAGUUGGGGGCAUUUGUAUUUAACUGUCAGAGGGGAAAUGCUUAGAUUUGUUAAAGACAAACUUAUGCGAAAGCAUUUGCAAAGGAGGUGU